AAAGUCGUAACAAGGUUUCCGUAGGUGAACCUGCGGAAGGAUCAUUACCAAUCAAAGCUGUCCUGACCGAGAGGUCUUGACGCUUCAACCCUCUGUGAACCAAAAAACCUUUCGCUUCGGCAGCAGCCCGGUUGGAGACAGCCUGGCGUGAGCCUGCCGUUAGCACCAAACCAUAAACUUGCUUUAGAACUUAUGUCUGAUGACCAAAUUUUCGAAUGAAAAUUAAAACUUUCAACAACGGAUCUCUUGGUUCCC
Molecule: unclassified non-coding RNA, 255 nt
Filed under: Ascomycota sp.
Lineage: Eukaryota; Fungi; Ascomycota
Description: partial contains small subunit ribosomal RNA, internal transcribed spacer 1, and 5.8S ribosomal RNA
Rfam family: Eukaryotic small subunit ribosomal RNA (bases 1-47)
Source: RNAcentral